This 76-nucleotide transfer RNA is filed under the name Candidatus Bathyarchaeota archaeon. RNAcentral describes it as "tRNA-Gln". The stretch from base 15 to 73 matches the Rfam family "tRNA". From Rfam's summary of the family: Transfer RNA (tRNA) molecules are approximately 80 nucleotides in length. Their secondary structure includes four short double-helical elements and three loops (D, anti-codon, and T loops). Further hydrogen bonds mediate the characteristic L-shaped molecular structure. tRNAs have two regions of fundamental functional importance: the anti-codon, which is responsible for specific mRNA codon recognition, and the 3' end, to which the tRNAs corresponding amino acid is attached (by aminoacyl-tRNA synthetases). tRNAs cope with the degeneracy of the genetic code in two manners: having more than one tRNA (with a specific anti-codon) for a particular amino acid; and 'wobble' base-pairing, i.e. permitting non-standard base-pairing at the 3rd anti-codon position. Lineage: Archaea; Thermoproteati; Candidatus Bathyarchaeota. The record is from RNAcentral.
AGCAAGGGCGCACAUGCCCGGCCAAUGACGGGCUUUGGACCCGUCGACGGGAGUUCGAAUCUCCCCCGGGCUACCA